This 401-nucleotide ribosomal RNA is filed under the name uncultured bacterium. RNAcentral's name for it is "bacterial SSU rRNA". It matches the Rfam family "Bacterial small subunit ribosomal RNA", at positions 356 to 773 of the family's 1533-position model. The record is from RNAcentral.
AGGGAAUUUUCCACAAUGGACGAAAGUCUGAUGGAGCAACGCCGCGUGCAGGAUGAAGGCCCUUGGGUUGUAAACUGCUUUUAUGUGCGAAGAUUAUGACAGUAACACAUGAAUAAGGGUCGGCUAACUACGUGCCAGCAGCCGCGGUCAUACGUAGGACCCAAGCGUUAUCCGGAAUUACUGGGCGUAAAGAGUUGCGUAGGUGGCAUAGUAAGUAAGAAGUGAAAGCGUUCGGCUCAACCGAAUAUACAUUUCUUAAACUGCUAAGCUAGAGAACGAGAGAGGUAGAUGGAAUUCCCAGUGUAGGAGUGAAAUCCGUAGAUAUUGGGAGGAACACCGAUGGCGUAGGCAGUCUACUGGCUCGUUUCUGACACUAAGGCACGAAAGCGUGGGGAGCAAAC